AGAGUUUGAUCAUGGCUCAGAGUGAACGCUGGCGGCGUGCUUAACACAUGCAAGUCGAACGAGAACGGAUUAGCUUGCUAUGAUUGUCAGCUAAGUGGCGCACGGGUGAGUAAUAUAUAGGUAACAUGCCCCAAAGAAGAGGAUAACGUUUGGAAACGAACGCUAAUACUCUAUAUGCCUUUAAGUCAAAAGACUGCAAGGGAAAUAUUUAUAGCUUUGGGAUUGGCCUGUACGGUAUCAGCUAGUUGGUGAGGUAAGAGCUCACCAAGGCAAUGACACCUAACUGGUUUGAGAGGAUGAUCAGUCACACUGGAACUGAGACACGGUCCAGACUCCUACGGGAGGCAGCAGUGGGGAAUAUUGCACAAUGGACGAAAGUCUGAUGCAGCAACGCCGCGUGGAGGAUGACACAUUUCGGUGCGUAAACUCCUUUUAUAUAGGAAGAUAAUGACGGUACUAUAUGAAUAAGCACCGGCUAACUCCGUGCCAGCAGCCGCGGUAAUACGGAGGGUGCGAGCGUUACUCGGAAUUACUGGGCGUAAAGCGCGCGUAGGCGGCCUGAUAAGUUGGAUGUGAAAGCCCUGGGCUCAACCUAGGAACUGCAUUCAAAACUGUCAGGCUAGAGUAUGGUAGAGGAUAGUGGAAUUUCCGGUGUAGCGGUGAAAUGCGUAGAGAUCGGAAGGAACAUCAGUGGCGAAGGCGGCUAUCUGGACCAAUACUGACGCUGAGGUGCGAAAGCGUGGGGAGCAAACAGGAUUAGAUACCCUGGUAGUCCACGCCGUAAACGAUGUCAACUAGCUGUCUGUGGACUUGAUCUCUCUUAGUGGCGCAGCUAACGCAAUAAGUAGACCGCCUGGGGAGUACGGCCGCAAGGUUAAAACUCAAAUGAAUUGACGGGGGCCCGCACAAGCGGUGGAGCAUGUGGUUUAAUUCGAUGCAACGCGAAGAACCUUACCUGGUCUUGACAUCCUACGAACUUACUAGAGAUAGUUUGGUGCCUUCGGGAUCGUAGUGACAGGUGCUGCAUGGCUGUCGUCAGCUCGUGUCGUGAGAUGUUGGGUUAAGUCCCGUAACGAGCGCAACCCUUAUCCUUAUUUGCCAUCACGUAAUGAUGGGAUCUCUAGGGAGACUGCCGGUGACAAACCGGAGGAAGGUGAGGACGACGUCAAGUCAUCAUGGCCCUUACGUCCAGGGCUACACACGUGCUACAAUGGGGUAUACAAAGAGCCGCAAUACUGUGAAGUGGAGCAAAUCUCAAAAAUACCUCCCAGUUCGGAUAGUAGUCUGCAACUCGACUACUUGAAGUUGGAAUCGCUAGUAAUCGUAGAUCAGCAAUGCUACGGUGAAUACGUUCCCGGGUCUUGUACUCACCGCCCGUCACACCAUGGGAGUUGAUUUCAUUCGAAGCGGGGAUGCUAAAGUAGCUACCCUCCACAGUGGAAUUAGCGACUGGGGUGAAGUCGUAACAAGGUAACCGUA
Molecule: ribosomal RNA, 1479 nt
Filed under: uncultured prokaryote
Description: partial 16S ribosomal RNA
Rfam family: Bacterial small subunit ribosomal RNA
Source: RNAcentral